This 73-nucleotide transfer RNA is filed under the name Rhamnusium bicolor. Its description in RNAcentral is "tRNA-Val". It matches the Rfam family "tRNA". From Rfam's summary of the family: Transfer RNA (tRNA) molecules are approximately 80 nucleotides in length. Their secondary structure includes four short double-helical elements and three loops (D, anti-codon, and T loops). Further hydrogen bonds mediate the characteristic L-shaped molecular structure. tRNAs have two regions of fundamental functional importance: the anti-codon, which is responsible for specific mRNA codon recognition, and the 3' end, to which the tRNAs corresponding amino acid is attached (by aminoacyl-tRNA synthetases). tRNAs cope with the degeneracy of the genetic code in two manners: having more than one tRNA (with a specific anti-codon) for a particular amino acid; and 'wobble' base-pairing, i.e. permitting non-standard base-pairing at the 3rd anti-codon position. Lineage: Eukaryota; Metazoa; Arthropoda; Insecta; Coleoptera; Cerambycidae. The record is from RNAcentral.
GUUUUCGUAGUGUAGUGGUUAUCACGUGUGCUUCACACGCACAAGGUCCCCGGUUCGACCCCGGGCGGAAACA